Molecule: long non-coding RNA, 413 nt
Filed under: Gossypium barbadense (sea-island cotton)
Lineage: Eukaryota; Viridiplantae; Streptophyta; Magnoliopsida; Malvales; Malvaceae
Description: long non-coding RNA (GBAR_LNC010389)
Source: RNAcentral
CGGAGGACGGUAGCAGAGACGCCAGAAAAAAGAGCAGCGACGCCUUCGGUCCGGAAGAUCUUGAUCCCGGUGGCCACAGGUCCAACACGCGCCGGCGGAGGAGGCAUGUGGAUAGCAGAGGAAGUAGUAGUAGUGGUUGUCUGAAAGGCUAAAGCAGGGCGGAGUGUUUGAACAGCCGGAUUGGGAACAUGGCUUUCACCCUGGAGCUGCAUUCGGACUUUGAUCAAAUCAAGCGGGUGGGUCGAACACCCGGCCACGAUUGAGGCUAUGCCUCCUUCAACAAAACCCUUCACUCCCAUAGCGGCACUCUCAAAGAAGAUCUAAACUCAAAUACUUAAGAACUUUACCAAAAUUUGCUUGCAAAUCAACAAGGCAAUUACUUUGUUUCAAAAAGGAAAUAAAAGAAGUUUAAA